ACAAUUGGUCAGUGUGGUUCUCAUGGAGUCCCCAGCCGAGAUGGACUGAGUGAAAGUCGAUUGAUGGAUCUCUUGCAUGGUUCUGAAUAUGUUCUCACAUAUGAAGACAAAGAUGGUGACUGGAUGCUUGUUGGUGAUGUUCAUUAUCCUCAGAUGUUCACCGACUCUUGUAGGAGGUUGAGGAUUAUGAAAAGUUCAGAGGCAAUUGGCCUAGCCCCAAGAGCCAUGGAGAAGUGUAAAAGUCGCAACUAGUGAGAUAGUGUUGCUAUCAACAGAUCAAAUCCACUGUCUGGGCAAAUGAUGAUAGAUGCUUAUGGUAUUUGAUUGUUGAAAGCUUUUAAUGGGUCCCAAAAUUGAGUCCUCUGUUUCUUAUUUGCUUAUGUUUCUAGUUAUUGCACUUGGACUUGGUUGUAGUAAGAAAAUCUCGGGUAGGGAGGA
This 438-nucleotide unclassified non-coding RNA is filed under the name Hevea brasiliensis (rubber tree). Lineage: Eukaryota; Viridiplantae; Streptophyta; Magnoliopsida; Malpighiales; Euphorbiaceae. The record is from RNAcentral.